CCUACGGGUGGCAGCAGUGGGGAAUAUUGGGCAAUGGGCGCAAGCCUGACCCAGCAACGCCGCGUGAAGGAAGAAGGCUUUCUGGUUGUAAACUUCUUUUGUCAGGGACGAAGCACGUGACGGUACCUGACUAAUAAGCCACGGCUAACUACGUGCCAGCAGCCGCGGUAAUACGUAGGUGGCAAGCGUUAUGCGGAUUUACUGGGUGUAAAGGGCGUGUAGGCGGGGAAGCAAGUCAGAUGUGAAAACCACGGGCUCAACCUGUGGACUGCAUUUGAAACUGUUUUUCUUGAGUGCUGGGGAGGCAAUCGGAAUUCGGGGUGUAGCGGUGAAAUGCGUAGAUAUACGGAGGAACACCAGUGGCGAAGGCGGAUUGCUGGACAGUAACUGACGCUGAGGCGCGAAAGCGUGGGGAGCAAACAGGAUUAGAUACCCGAGUAGUC
RNAcentral lists this ribosomal RNA (443 nucleotides) under uncultured bacterium. RNAcentral describes it as "partial 16S ribosomal RNA". It matches the Rfam family "Bacterial small subunit ribosomal RNA", at positions 338 to 795 of the family's 1533-position model. The record is from RNAcentral.